Molecule: long non-coding RNA, 291 nt
Filed under: Brassica napus (rape)
Lineage: Eukaryota; Viridiplantae; Streptophyta; Magnoliopsida; Brassicales; Brassicaceae
Description: long non-coding RNA (BNAP_LNC000237)
Source: RNAcentral
GGAUUCCCCUUGUUAAAUCUCUUGUCUUUCUAUCUUGUCUCUUGGGUGUUUCACUUGGGAUUCUCAUUUUUGGGAUAUCUAGUUUGUUCUCUUAGAACUUUGAGGAAAACUCUUUUGAGGGACUACCAAAUUGAGUGAAACACGUGUGUGGGCAAGGACAAACACCUGAGUGUGAGAGGGUUUUAAUCUAACUUUACCUUGUCUAAGUUUUCAGGUAGCUAUGGACAGUGAAGAAGAAAGAAACCGACCCGGAAACUCACAUGCCGGGCUAUCUAACUUGCAAAUGCGUGC